AUGGCUUUCUUGGUCCCAUUAUCCGGUUAUUCACUAGCAAGGACCACACCACCAAAAAGGAAUGGAAAUGCACCAAGAGCUAAGUGGUUGAUGGUGGCACUCCAAAUUCAGACGGUGGCGAGAGUGGGUGAGGAGGAUGGGAGAAGCCCAGCUGAUUGGAAACAUCUGGGUGAUUGUAGGGAGCACUCCCACAUCAUCCAGCGCUGGCUGAGAUUUGACAGUGCCCUCUGAAGUGACAGCUUUGACCUCGGCCAGUGUGCAUGCGUGCAGCUGCCAGAGACCGGUCUGGCUGAAAAAGAGGACAGAGCCGGGCGCUCUAGGCACUGGAUGGUACCGCUGCUUUUUGAUAGGAGCUCUGUUGACAGCCAACGUUUCAGUAGGGGUAAAAUACAACCAGCUCGCUGAUGCGUUUGGUACCAAACAAGUGACCAACAGCAACAGCUUUUCAAAAUAUUUGGGGCACAUUGUUGAGAUGCGUGCCAUAACGUGUUGUUAUAUCUGCACUAUGCAUUGCCUGCAUACAGCAUGAUCAUUGUGAGUGGAUUUCAAUGUGCCAAGUAGCUAAUUGUCAGUGAAAUAUAUAAUGUACAUUUUUUUCAUUUUUCCAUCAUAGACUUGUUAUAUUGUUUGCCAAAAAAAACUCCUAUGCACAGAGCAAAAUGCAGCUGCUUUAAAUCCAACGAUGUUCAGCAGAUGUACAUUGUUAUUCCAAACAGAUGUGUCUGAGAGAAGCAAACAAAUAGAGAGCAGACAAUGCCUUUUAGAUCUUACCUGCCUGAAACUCAGCGACAGACUGCAAAUAGUAAGAUCAUUAUGAUGGAGCAGGUUUUGCUUUUGCAAAAAAAUAUUAGUUUUCCACAAGUGUUGUUUCAAAAAUCGCAUAUUUAACAGAACAAUUACAAAGAUUUUGUUUCCUUUUUCUUUUUGCAAACACGUCAUUAGACAUUGUAGCUCAGCAUCACCACAUAACGGCAUUAAUAUUAAUGUUUAUGGUAAUGAACUUUUUUUUGAAGAGGAACACUUAUUCAUAUUUGAUUCAUUAAUGUAAUGAAUGCAAGGAAUGAUCAGAUAAUACGCUCUUGUGUCCUUGAUAUGCAAUGAGGAGUAUUAGACUGACUUAAAUUCCAGAUAGGUAUGCCUAAGCUGCAUUAAUCGACGCGAGAAUAUAGAAGCUAUAAACUCUCUGAGAAAAGGCUGCGGAAAACCUACAAUGUUAUAGAUUAAACAAAACAGAGUGAAAUGGAGUUCAUUUGCAUCACCCUCCUCUUUUCAGAGGAGCUAAACUGCUUACCAUUAUUCAAAGAUAUCUUUUAAAUAAGGCCCAAAUAUGCGGGUGAAACCAAUUUAACGAGUGGCCACCAAAGACGUUUGUCAAAUGAUCUAUAUUGAGAUUUUGACUGUGUAAGCCUCUUAUCAUAACUGCUAUAAAACACACAUCAUUCUGUUUCAGGACUGAAUUUC
This is a long non-coding RNA of Sebastes umbrosus (honeycomb rockfish), 1461 nucleotides long. RefSeq lists it as uncharacterized. The transcript is spliced from 3 exons. The record is from RefSeq and is a predicted model, not a curated record. NCBI's taxonomy places the organism in Eukaryota, Metazoa, Chordata, Actinopteri, Perciformes, Sebastidae.